GGGGAAUAUUGCACAAUGGAGGAAACUCUGAUCCAGCAAUGCCGCGUGUGUGAAGAAGGCCUUAGGGUUGUAAAGCACUUUCAAUAGGGAGGAAAAGUAUAAGUUUAAUAC
Molecule: ribosomal RNA, 111 nt
Filed under: uncultured bacterium
Lineage: Bacteria
Description: partial 16S ribosomal RNA
Rfam family: Bacterial small subunit ribosomal RNA
Source: RNAcentral